RNAcentral lists this long non-coding RNA (371 nucleotides) under Rosa chinensis. Its description in RNAcentral is "sRNA RchiOBHm_Chr4g0407321". Lineage: Eukaryota; Viridiplantae; Streptophyta; Magnoliopsida; Rosales; Rosaceae. The record is from RNAcentral.
GAGAAAGGUGUGUAGCCACUUGGGUUUCACCAAAACCGAAGUUUCUACACACUUUGAUCAAUCACUUCUCUUAUUUCUCACACAUUCAAGCCUUGUUCUUACUUUGUUCUUGAGAUUUUGUGGAUUUGUAUAGUGAUUUGGAUUCUAGAAACCGAAAUCGCUAUACUUUGAAGCAUUUCUCUUCUCAUAUAGCAUCUAGGAGGCAAGGGAGACAUCUUGUGCUUUUGGUUUGGCUCCAAAAAGAGCUAAACCCAUGGGGCACUAGCAGUUGGGAGAUUUUUGAAGACUACAUUGCAAAGUGCUAGUCAAGAUGACCGAUGAAGUGUUAUAAUGUUCUUUAUAUUAGGUUCAAAAAUGUAAAGUUUAUAUUU